This 1242-nucleotide long non-coding RNA is filed under the name Homo sapiens (human). Its description in RNAcentral is "HSALNT0092908". The record is from RNAcentral. Lineage: Eukaryota; Metazoa; Chordata; Mammalia; Primates; Hominidae.
AAAAAAAAAAAAAAAAAAAAAUUCACUGAUUGCACCAAUUGCAAUAAUGUGAAGAAACAGCAAUAUAUUGUUACAGCAAUAGUUCUGAAAUCUUAGUGUUUUAUGUUGUUGCAACAGAACACCACAGACUGGGUAUCUUAAAAAACGAAUAGAAAUUGGCUGGGCGUGGUGUAUCAUGAGGUCAGGAGUUCAAGACCAGCCUGGCCAACAUGGUGAAACCCCAUCUUUACUAAAAACUACAUAAAUUAGCUGGGUACAGUGGCAGGCACUUGUAAUCCCAGCUACUCGGGAGGCUGAGGCAGGAGAAUCACUUGAAACCAGGCGGCAGAUAUUGCAGUGAGCUGAGAUCGCACCGCUGCACACCAGCCUGGGCAAUGUGUAUUUGGCUCAUGAUUAGGAGCUGGGAAAUCCAAAAGCAUGGCACCUGUAUAUGGCAAGGGUCUUUGAUGCUGUGUGAUCCCAUGGUGGAAGGUGAGAGGACAAAGAGGGUGCGCUGAGGAGAGCAAAAGAAAAAUUUGGCUGAACUCCAUUUUAUAACAAACCCACUCCUCAGAUAGUAACAUUAAUCCAUUCCUGAGGGCACAGCCCCCAUGGCCCAAUCACCUCCCAAAGGUUCCACCUCUCAAUAACAUCACAAUGGCAAUUAAAUUUCAACAUGCAUUUUGGAGGGGACAUCCAAAAUAUGGCACUGACAAUCCUUAUUGCCCCAAAAGUAAACCAUUUCCAGAUUUCAACCAUCUUUCUGUGACAAAUCUUUUCAGUUGGCUACCACAGUACGUUUUUUUUUUUGAGACAGGGUCCAGCUCUGCUGAGGUGAGUGGAAUAGCAUGAUCACGGCUCACUGCAGCCUCACCUCCAGGGCUCAAGCAGUCCUCCCACCUCAGCCUCCCAAGUAGCUAAGACUAUAGGCAUGUGCCACCAUGCCCAGCUAAUUCUUUUUUUUGUAGAGACAGUCUCACUAUGUUGCCCAGGUUGGUCCCGACUUCCUGGACUUCAGUGAUCCUCCUGCCUCAGCCUCCCAAUGUGCCGCGAUUAUAGGUGUGAGCCACUGUACCUGACCCAGUAUGCAUUCUCAACUACUUUCUUCCUUAGCUGCCUUGGCUGUCAGGACUGAAAAAGCUAUGCAGUCAUCCCUCAUCUGUGGUUUCACUUCUGUGGUUUCAGUUACCUUGGUCCCAAAACAGCCUCCUUUGCAGCUAGAGAUGGACCUGUCACAGUUCUCAACAAUGAAACUAAGUGAAA